AGCGUACACGGUGGAUGCCCUGGCAGUCAGAGGCGAUGAAGGACGUGCUAAUCUGCGAUAAGCGUCGGUAAGGUGAUAUGAACCGUUAUAACCGGCGAUUUCCGAAUGGGGAAACCCAGUGUGAUUCGUCACACUAUCAUUAACUGAAUCCAUAGGUUAAUGAGGCGAACCGGGGGAACUGAAACAUCUAAGUACCCCGAGGAAAAGAAAUCAACCGAGAUUCCCCCAGUAGCGGCGAGCGAACGGGGAGCAGCCCAGAGCCUGAAUCAGUGUGUGUGUUAGUGGAAGCGUCUGGAAAGGCGCGCGAUACAGGGUGACAGCCCCGUACACAAAAAUGCACAUACUGUGAGCUCGAUGAGUAGGGCGGGACACGUGGUAUCCUGUCUGAAUAUGGGGGGACCAUCCUCCAAGGCUAAAUACUCCUGACUGACCGAUAGUGAACCAGUACCGUGAGGGAAAGGCGAAAAGAACCCCGGCGAGGGGAGUGAAAAAGAACCUGAAACCGUGUACGUACAAGCAGUGGGAGCACGCUUAGGCGUGUGACUGCGUACCUUUUGUAUAAUGGGUCAGCGACUUAUAUUCUGUAGCAAGGUUAACCGAAUAGGGGAGCCGAAGGGAAACCGAGUCUUAACUGGGCGUUAAGUUGCAGGGUAUAGACCCGAAACCCGGUGAUCUAGCCAUGGGCAGGUUGAAGGUUGGGUAACACUAACUGGAGGACCGAACCGACUAAUGUUGAAAAAUUAGCGGAUGACUUGUGGCUGGGGGUGAAAGGCCAAUCAAACCGGGAGAUAGCUGGUUCUCCCCGAAAGCUAUUUAGGUAGCGCCUCGUGAAUUCAUCUCCGGGGGUAGAGCACUGUUUCGGCAAGGGGGUCAUCCCGACUUACCAACCCGAUGCAAACUGCGAAUACCGGAGAAUGUUAUCACGGGAGACACACGGCGGGUGCUAACGUCCGUCGUGAAGAGGGAAACAACCCAGACCGCCAGCUAAGGUCCCAAAGUCAUGGUUAAGUGGGAAACGAUGUGGGAAGGCCCAGACAGCCAGGAUGUUGGCUUAGAAGCAGCCAUCAUUUAAAGAAAGCGUAAUAGCUCACUGGUCGAGUCGGCCUGCGCGGAAGAUGUAACGGGGCUAAACCAUGCACCGAAGCUGCGGCAGCGACACUAUGUGUUGUUGGGUAGGGGAGCGUUCUGUAAGCCUGUGAAGGUGUACUGUGAGGUAUGCUGGAGGUAUCAGAAGUGCGAAUGCUGACAUAAGUAACGAUAAAGCGGGUGAAAAGCCCGCUCGCCGGAAGACCAAGGGUUCCUGUCCAACGUUAAUCGGGGCAGGGUGAGUCGACCCCUAAGGCGAGGCCGAAAGGCGUAGUCGAUGGGAAACAGGUUAAUAUUCCUGUACUUGGUGUUACUGCGAAGGGGGGACGGAGAAGGCUAUGUUGGCCGGGCGACGGUUGUCCCGGUUUAAGCGUGUAGGCUGGUUUUCCAGGCAAAUCCGGAAAAUCAAGGCUGAGGCGUGAUGACGAGGCACUACGGUGCUGAAGCAACAAAUGCCCUGCUUCCAGGAAAAGCCUCUAAGCAUCAGGUAACAUCAAAUCGUACCCCAAACCGACACAGGUGGUCAGGUAGAGAAUACCAAGGCGCUUGAGAGAACUCGGGUGAAGGAACUAGGCAAAAUGGUGCCGUAACUUCGGGAGAAGGCACGCUGAUAUGUAGGUGAAGUCCCUCGCGGAUGGAGCUGAAAUCAGUCGAAGAUACCAGCUGGCUGCAACUGUUUAUUAAAAACACAGCACUGUGCAAACACGAAAGUGGACGUAUACGGUGUGACGCCUGCCCGGUGCCGGAAGGUUAAUUGAUGGGGUUAGCGCAAGCGAAGCUCUUGAUCGAAGCCCCGGUAAACGGCGGCCGUAACUAUAACGGUCCUAAGGUAGCGAAAUUCCUUGUCGGGUAAGUUCCGACCUGCACGAAUGGCGUAAUGAUGGCCAGGCUGUCUCCACCCGAGACUCAGUGAAAUUGAACUCGCUGUGAAGAUGCAGUGUACCCGCGGCAAGACGGAAAGACCCCGUGAACCUUUACUAUAGCUUGACACUGAACAUUGAGCCUUGAUGUGUAGGAUAGGUGGGAGGCUUUGAAGUGUGGACGCCAGUCUGCAUGGAGCCGACCUUGAAAUACCACCCUUUAAUGUUUGAUGUUCUAACGUUGACCCGUGAUCCGGGUUGCGGACAGUGUCUGGUGGGUAGUUUGACUGGGGCGGUCUCCUCCUAAAGAGUAACGGAGGAGCACGAAGGUUGGCUAAUCCUGGUCGGACAUCAGGAGGUUAGUGCAAUGGCAUAAGCCAGCUUGACUGCGAGCGUGACGGCGCGAGCAGGUGCGAAAGCAGGUCAUAGUGAUCCGGUGGUUCUGAAUGGAAGGGCCAUCGCUCAACGGAUAAAAGGUACUCCGGGGAUAACAGGCUGAUACCGCCCAAGAGUUCAUAUCGACGGCGGUGUUUGGCACCUCGAUGUCGGCUCAUCACAUCCUGGGGCUGAAGUAGGUCCCAAGGGUAUGGCUGUUCGCCAUUUAAAGUGGUACGCGAGCUGGGUUUAGAACGUCGUGAGACAGUUCGGUCCCUAUCUGCCGUGGGCGCUGGAGAACUGAGGGGGGCUGCUCCUAGUACGAGAGGACCGGAGUGGACGCAUCACUGGUGUUCGGGUUGUCAUGCCAAUGGCACUGCCCGGUAGCUAAAUGCGGAAGAGAUAAGUGCUGAAAGCAUCUAAGCACGAAACUUGCCCCGAGAUGAGUUCUCCCUGACUCCUUGA
RNAcentral lists this ribosomal RNA (2786 nucleotides) under Escherichia coli. RNAcentral's name for it is "bacterial LSU rRNA". It matches the Rfam family "Bacterial large subunit ribosomal RNA". Lineage: Bacteria; Pseudomonadati; Pseudomonadota; Gammaproteobacteria; Enterobacterales; Enterobacteriaceae. The record is from RNAcentral.